UAGCCACACAGCUGUCUUUGUCUUUGUUGUAGAUAUAAAUGAGUGUGUGGAGCUCUCAACCUGCCCCAAUGCCAAGUUUGAGUGCAGGAACAAGCCCGGCUCUGUGGACUGCUUCUGUAGAUACCAGAACACCAAGGACGUUGAUGGAUGUGGUGACUCUGCCAAUCCUCCAGGGUGUAAUGUGUUUAACGUCUCUGUGGGCUGGAAGAAGAGCAAGACUGAAGGACUCAAACAGCUGGUGGACAUUCUGUCGAUCGGUUUCCAAAACAAAUUCUACAACGCCAGUUACAAGGAUCCAGCCCCGGGGUCCGGUCUGGGUGCAGCCGAAUACCGUAUCAACGUGUCCAGUGACACCCCCCACUGGUACAUCAGAGACUACCUGGCCAGAGUCAGCGGCCACUAUGACAUCAGUUCUGUAGAAGUUGAUGAUCUGGACGAGUGUAAGGCCAAGGAGGCGGUGUGUGUCCAUCCUGCCCUCUGCGCCAACACUUACGGAGGCUACAGGUGUGUCUGCAAUGGCACGACCGACGUGGAUGAAACCCAGUCCUGUGUGUUAGGUGAGGCUCUGCGCACAUUUUACAUCCAUCCUGCAGGCACAGUAGCGGCUCUAGGGCUAACAGGCUGUCAAAAUCGAUAUUAUAACUGAGUGCUAAACCCAUAAAAUGCCUCGCAGAUAUAUGUCUUGUCAUAUAAACACAUCACUGCCCGGGCAAAUGACACUUCAACUUGUCAUCCAUCGCGUCUUUUCUCACUCUUAUAAAAAACAUUCUGUGACUGUGAUGAGAGCAUUUUACGGAAAUGUUUGUCAUGACUUGGUUUGACGUGACCCUUUGCAGACAGAGACCAGGUGAAUGAAAGGGAACUGGACCUUGUUCUGGGCCUGGUUCUGGGAAUCGGCAUCCCUCUACUUUUGCUGCUGCUCCUGGCUGCGCUGGCCUGCUUCUGCUGCUGCAAGAAGACGGUUACCGGAGAGUGAGUAACACCAGGAGUUUUCACUUUAUGAACAACAGGCAUGAGGGCUUUUUAACUGCUGAUGGUUUAGUAGCAAUAUUAUACAGGUUAUGUUUUCUUCACGAUUUUAGCCAAAAAUAUGGCAAAACCUUCUGUUUGUUUCUACCUAUUUACACAACUGUAAUGUUUUAUUGAGUUGUUUGCUGUUUCAGGGACCAGUGUGUAGGGUUUAGUGGCAUCUAGUAGUCAAGUUGCAGAUUGCCACCUUUUGAAUACAGCUCAGCCUUCAAAGUGUUUAGGACAGUGAUUCCCAACCACUAGGGGUCGCCAAAGCUUCAUAAGGGGUAGCGAGGCCUUCUUGAUUUUAGGUCUAGGCCGAUAUUUCAGAAUUUGCUUCACUUCUGUGAAGCACCAGGAAUAAGAAAAUACUGAAUUUGCCAAAAAGGUAGCCUAUUAAGUCUGUAUGAUUGUUGGAAAAUGAUUUCAAAAAUACAUAAUACAGACAGAGACUUGUAUAAAAAGUUCCCUAAACAGGAAAUAAUCAGCUCAGAAUUCAUCCAAAUCUCUUGUUUUACACAAACUUCCUGCAGUUACUGAGUUCACUGUUUGGGUUCAUUGUACAGUUUUUUAUAUAAUAUGAAAUCAGUUCACUAACUGAUAAAAAAAAGGGGUCUCUUAAGGAAAAAGGUUGGGAACCACUGGUGUAGGUGAAGCUACGAUAGCUGCAAAUAAUGCUAAAGGCCGUCUCUAGAGCCAGUGUUAGAUGCUCCUGAAUGUUGGACCUCAAUCACCCCCACCAGAUUUCAGUCCUUGUAAUUUAUGUACCAACGUCGCUUUUUCUUCUGGCACCAAGUGUUUUGCGUCAGUAGCGGUAAGGGUCUAAGAAUAGCGUUUUUUUCUCAUCCAUACAACAAUCGUCUCCUGGUGCGCGGUGGGCAGAACACAUCAGACGUGUUUCCCGGUGUGUGGUGACUGUUUAUAGCUGCGCAGGCCUUUCAAAGGACAGCUAGACCAUCUUGGUGCACUAAAGCACUAAUGAAUAAUGUGUUUAGAUGGGUCAGCAGCUCCUUUGGGCAAGGGUUCAUACUGCUGCAGAGAAUGACCACACACACACCCAGAGUUUCAAGGUACAGUAGUCAAGUAGGUCUGCCCAGAGACAAUCCUUUCCAGCAACUCGAAG
Molecule: long non-coding RNA, 2131 nt
Organism: Dicentrarchus labrax (European seabass)
Lineage: Eukaryota; Metazoa; Chordata; Actinopteri; Moronidae
Source: Ensembl